RNAcentral lists this ribosomal RNA (468 nucleotides) under uncultured bacterium. Its description in RNAcentral is "partial 16S ribosomal RNA". It matches the Rfam family "Bacterial small subunit ribosomal RNA", at positions 28 to 507 of the family's 1533-position model. The record is from RNAcentral.
GACGAACGCUGGCGGCGUGCUUAACACAUGCAAGUCGAACGGAAAGGCCCUGCUUUUGUGGGGUGCUCGAGUGGCGAACGGGUGAGUAACACGUGAGUAACCUGCCCUUGACUUUGGGAUAACUUCAGGAAACUGGGGCUAAUACCGGAUAGGAGCUCCUGCUGCAUGGUGGGGGUUGGAAAGUUUCGGCGGUUGGGGAUGGACUCGCGGCUUAUCAGCUUGUUGGUGGGGUGGUGGCUUACCAAGGCAUUGACGGGUAGCCGGCCUGAGAGGGUGACCGGCCACAUUGGGACUGAGCUACGGCCCAGACUCCUACGGGAGGCAGCAGUGGGGAAUAUUGCACAAUGGGCGGAAGCCUGAUGCAGCAACGCCGCGUGCGUGAUGACGGCCUUCGGGUUGUAAACCGCUUUCGCCUGUGACGAAGCGUGAGUGACGGUAAUGGGUAAAGAAGCACCGGCUAACUACGUG